UUAAGGGCGCACGGUGGAUGCCUUGGCACUAGAAGCCGAUGAAGGACGUUACUAACGACGAUAUGCUUUGGGGAGCUGUAAGUAAGCUUUGAUCCAGAGAUUUCCGAAUGGGGAAACCCAGCAUGAGUUAUGUCAUGUUAUCGAUAUGUGAAUACAUAGCAUAUCAGAAGGCACACCCGGAGAACUGAAACAUCUUAGUACCCGGAGGAAGAGAAAGAAAAUUCGAUUCCCUUAGUAGCGGCGAGCGAAACGGGAAGAGCCCAAACCAACAAGCUUGCUUGUUGGGGUUGUAGGACACUCUAUACGGAGUUACAAAGGACGACAUUAGACGAAUCAUCUGGAAAGAUGAAUCAAAGAAGGUAAUAAUCCUGUAGUCGAAAAUGUUGUCUCUCUUGAGUGGAUCCUGAGUACGACGGAGCACGUGAAAUUCCGUCGGAAUCUGGGAGGACCAUCUCCUAAGGCUAAAUACUCUCUAGAGACCGAUAGUGAACCAGUACCGUGAGGGAAAGGUGAAAAGCACCCCGGAAGGGGAGUGAAAUAGAACCUGAAACCGUGUGCUUACAAGUAGUCAGAGCCCGUUAAUGGGUGAUGGCGUGCCUUUUGUAGAAUGAACCGGCGAGUUACGAUUUGAUGCAAGGUUAAGCAGUAAAUGUGGAGCCGUAGCGAAAGCGAGUCUGAAUAGGGCGUUUAGUAUUUGGUCGUAGACCCGAAACCAGGUGAUCUACCCUUGGUCAGGUUGAAGUUCAGGUAACACUGAAUGGAGGACCGAACCGACUUACGUUGAAAAGUGAGCGGAUGAACUGAGGGUAGCGGAGAAAUUCCAAUCGAACCUGGAGAUAGCUGGUUCUCUCCGAAAUAGCUUUAGGGCUAGCCUCAAGUGAUGAUUAUUGGAGGUAGAGCACUGUUUGGACGAGGGGCCCCUCUCGGGUUACCGAAUUCAGACAAACUCCGAAUGCCAAUUAAUUUAACUUGGGAGUCAGAACAUGGGUGAUAAGGUCCGUGUUCGAAAGGGAAACAGCCCAGACCACCAGCUAAGGUCCCAAAAUAUAUGUUAAGUGGAAAAGGAUGUGGCGUUGCCCAGACAACUAGGAUGUUGGCUUAGAAGCAGCCAUCAUUUAAAGAGUGCGUAAUAGCUCACUAGUCGAGUGACACUGCGCCGAAAAUGUACCGGGGCUAAACAUAUUACCGAAGCUGUGGAUUGUCCUUUGGACAAUGGUAGGAGAGCGUUCUAAGGGCGUUGAAGCAUGAUCGUAAGGACAUGUGGAGCGCUUAGAAGUGAGAAUGCCGGUGUGAGUAGCGAAAGACGGGUGAGAAUCCCGUCCACCGAUUGACUAAGGUUUCCAGAGGAAGGCUCGUCCGCUCUGGGUUAGUCGGGUCCUAAGCUGAGGCCGACAGGCGUAGGCGAUGGAUAACAGGUUGAUAUUCCUGUACCACCUAUAAUCGUUUUAAUCGAUGGGGGGACGCAGUAGGAUAGGCGAAGCGUGCGAUUGGAUUGCACGUCUAAGCAGUAAGGCUGAGUAUUAGGCAAAUCCGGUACUCGUUAAGGCUGAGCUGUGAUGGGGAGAAGACAUUGUGUCUUCGAGUCGUUGAUUUCACACUGCCGAGAAAAGCCUCUAGAUAGAAAAUAGGUGCCCGUACCGCAAACCGACACAGGUAGUCAAGAUGAGAAUUCUAAGGUGAGCGAGCGAACUCUCGUUAAGGAACUCGGCAAAAUGACCCCGUAACUUCGGGAGAAGGGGUGCUCUUUAGGGUUAACGCCCAGAAGAGCCGCAGUGAAUAGGCCCAAGCGACUGUUUAUCAAAAACACAGGUCUCUGCUAAACCGUAAGGUGAUGUAUAGGGGCUGACGCCUGCCCGGUGCUGGAAGGUUAAGAGGAGUGGUUAGCUUCUGCGAAGCUACGAAUCGAAGCCCCAGUAAACGGCGGCCGUAACUAUAACGGUCCUAAGGUAGCGAAAUUCCUUGUCGGGUAAGUUCCGACCCGCACGAAAGGCGUAACGAUUUGGGCACUGUCUCAACGAGAGACUCGGUGAAAUCAUAGUACCUGUGAAGAUGCAGGUUACCCGCGACAGGACGGAAAGACCCCGUGGAGCUUUACUGUAGCCUGAUAUUGAAAUUCGGCACAGCUUGUACAGGAUAGGUAGGAGCCUUUGAAACGUGAGCGCUAGCUUACGUGGAGGCGCUGGUGGGAUACUACCCUAGCUGUGUUGGCUUUCUAACCCGCACCACUUAUCGUGGUGGGAGACAGUGUCAGGCGGGCAGUUUGACUGGGGCGGUCGCCUCCUAAAAGGUAACGGAGGCGCUCAAAGGUUCCCUCAGAAUGGUUGGAAAUCAUUCAUAGAGUGUAAAGGCAUAAGGGAGCUUGACUGCGAGACCUACAAGUCGAGCAGGGUCGAAAGACGGACUUAGUGAUCCGGUGGUUCCGCAUGGAAGGGCCAUCGCUCAACGGAUAAAAGCUACCCCGGGGAUAACAGGCUUAUCUCCCCCAAGAGUUCACAUCGACGGGGAGGUUUGGCACCUCGAUGUCGGCUCAUCGCAUCCUGGGGCUGUAGUCGGUCCCAAGGGUUGGGCUGUUCGCCCAUUAAAGCGGUACGCGAGCUGGGUUCAGAACGUCGUGAGACAGUUCGGUCCCUAUCCGUCGUGGGCGUAGGAAAUUUGAGAGGAGCUGUCCUUAGUACGAGAGGACCGGGAUGGACAUACCUCUGGUGUACCAGUUGUCGUGCCAACGGCAUAGCUGGGUAGCUAUGUGUGGACGGGAUAAGUGCUGAAAGCAUCUAAGCAUGAAGCCCCCCUCAAGAUGAGAUUUCCCAACUUCGGUUAUAAGAUCCCUCAAAGAUGAUGAGGUUAAUAGGUUCGAGGUGGAAGCAUGGUGACAUGUGGAGCUGACGAAUACUAAUCGAUCGAAGACUUAAUC
RNAcentral lists this ribosomal RNA (2911 nucleotides) under Staphylococcus aureus. RNAcentral describes it as "bacterial LSU rRNA". It matches the Rfam family "Bacterial large subunit ribosomal RNA". The record is from RNAcentral. Lineage: Bacteria; Bacillati; Bacillota; Bacilli; Caryophanales; Staphylococcaceae.